This 889-nucleotide ribosomal RNA is filed under the name uncultured bacterium. RNAcentral's name for it is "bacterial SSU rRNA". It matches the Rfam family "Bacterial small subunit ribosomal RNA", at positions 28 to 896 of the family's 1533-position model. The record is from RNAcentral.
AAUGAACGCUGGCGGCGUGCCUAACACAUGCAAGUCGAGCGAGAAAGGGGGCUUCGGUCCCUGAGUAGAGCGGCGCACGGGUGAGUAACGCGUGGAUAAUCUGCCCAUGAACCUGGGAUAACAACGAGAAAUUGUUGCUAAUACCGGAUAAGCUCACGUACUGUAAGGGUAAGUGGGAAAAGGCGGCCUCUGGAAUAAGCUGCCGUUUGUGGAUGAGUCCGCGUCCCAUUAGCUAGUUGGUGGGGUAAAGGCCUACCAAGGCGACGAUGGGUAGCCGGCCUGAGAGGGUGGCCGGCCACACUGGAACUGAAACACGGUCCAGACUCCUACGGGAGGCAGCAGUGGGGAAUAUUGCGCAAUGGGCGAAAGCCUGACGCAGCAACGCCGCGUGAGGGAAGAAGGUCUUCGGAUCGUAAACCUCUGUCGGGAGGGAAGAACGGCAUGGGGUCGAACAGGCUCUGUGAUUGACGGUACCUCCAAAGGAAGCACCGGCUAACUCCGUGCCAGCAGCCGCGGUAAUACGGAGGGUGCGAGCGUUAUUCGGAAUUACUGGGCGUAAAGGGCGUGUAGGCGGCUUUGUAAGUCAGAUGUGAAAGCCCACGGCUUAACCGUGGAACUGCAUUUGAAACUGCUUGGCUAGAGUACGGGAGGGGGUGGCGGAAUUCCCGGUGUAGGAGUGAAAUCCGUAGAUAUCGGGAGGAACACCGGUGGCGAAGGCGGCCGCCUGGACCGUAACUGACGCUGAGACGCGAAAGCGUGGGGAGCAGACAGGAUUAGAUACCCUGGUAGUCCACGCUGUAAACGAUGGAUGCUAGGUGUUGGGGAGCAAUCUUCAGUGCCGCAGUUAACGCGUUAAGCAUCCCGCCUGGGGAGUACGGUCGCAAGGCUG